AACUAAGUAGUGGUAUCCAUAUUAAGUUGCAAACUUAGUGAAGCAAGUGCCUUAGUUA
RNAcentral lists this transfer RNA (58 nucleotides) under Pseudoniphargus triasi. RNAcentral's name for it is "tRNA-Cys". Lineage: Eukaryota; Metazoa; Arthropoda; Malacostraca; Amphipoda; Allocrangonyctidae. The record is from RNAcentral.